GACGAACGCUGGCGGCGUGCUUAACACAUGCAAGUCGAACGCUGAAGCUUGGUGCUUGCGCUGUGUGGGUGAGUGGCGAACGGGUGAGUAAUACGUGAGUAACCUGCCCUUGACUCUGGGAUAAGCCUGGGAAACUGGGUCUAAUACUGGAUACGACAUGUCACCGCAUGGUGGUGUGUGGAAAGGGUUUUACUGGUUUUGGAUGGGCUCACGGCCUAUCAGCUUGUUGGUGGGGUAAUGGCUCACCAAGGCGACGACGGGUAGCCGGCCUGAGAGGGUGACCGGCCACACUGGGACUGAGACACGGCCCAGACUCCUACGGGAGGCAGCAGUGGGGAAUAUUGCACAAUGGGCGGAAGCCUGAUGCAGCGACGCCGCGUGAGGGAUGACGGCCUUCGGGUUGUAAACCUCUUUCAGCACGGAAGAAGCGAAAGUGACGGUAAGUGCAGAAGAAGCGCCGGCUAACUACGUG
Molecule: ribosomal RNA, 472 nt
Filed under: uncultured bacterium
Lineage: Bacteria
Description: partial 16S ribosomal RNA
Rfam family: Bacterial small subunit ribosomal RNA
Source: RNAcentral